ACGCUGGCGGCAGGCUUAACACAUGCAAGUCGAACGGUAACAGGAGAAAGCUUGCUUUCUUGCUGACGAGUGGCGGACGGGUGAGUAAUGCUUGGGAAUCUGGCUUAUGGAGGGGGAUAACGACGGGAAACUGUCGCUAAUACCGCGUAGAGUCGAGAGACGAAAGUGCGGGACCGCAAGGCCGCAUGCUAUAGGAUGAGCCCAAGUGGGAUUAGGUAGUUGGUGGGGUAAAGGCCUACCAAGCCGACGAUCUCUAGCUGGUCUGAGAGGAUGACCAGCCACACCGGGACUGAGACACGGCCCGGACUCCUACGGGAGGCAGCAGUGGGGAAUAUUGCGCAAUGGGGGCAACCCUGACGCAGCCAUGCCGCGUGAAUGAAGAAGGCCUUCGGGUUGUAAAGUUCUUUCGGUAUUGAGGAAGGUUGUUGUGUUAAUAGCACGACAAAUUGACGUUAAAUACAGAAGAAGCACCGGCUAACUCCGUGCCAGCAGCCGCGGUAAUACGGAGGGUGCGAGCGUUAAUCGGAAUAACUGGGCGUAAAGGGCACGCAGGCGGACUUUUAAGUGAGGUGUGAAAUCCCCGGGCUUAACCUGGGAAUUGCAUUUCAGACUGGGAGUCUAGAGUACUUUAGGGAGGGGUAGAAUUCCACGUGUAGCGGUGAAAUGCGUAGAGAUGUGGAGGAAUACCGAAGGCGAAGGCAGCCCCUUGGGAAUGUACUGACGCUCAUGUGCGAAAGCGUGGGGAGCAAACAGGAUUAGAUACCCUGGUAGUCCACGCUGUAAACGCUGUCGAUUUGGGGAUUGGGCCUUGAGCUUGGUGCCCGAAGCUAACGUGAUAAAUCGACCGCCUGGGGAGUACGGCCGCAAGGUUAAAACUCAAAUGAAUUGACGGGGGCCCGCACAAGCG
RNAcentral lists this ribosomal RNA (907 nucleotides) under uncultured bacterium. RNAcentral's name for it is "bacterial SSU rRNA". It matches the Rfam family "Bacterial small subunit ribosomal RNA", at positions 33 to 931 of the family's 1533-position model. The record is from RNAcentral.